This 744-nucleotide ribosomal RNA is filed under the name uncultured bacterium. Its description in RNAcentral is "bacterial SSU rRNA". It matches the Rfam family "Bacterial small subunit ribosomal RNA", at positions 8 to 741 of the family's 1533-position model. The record is from RNAcentral.
AGAGUUUGAUCAUGGCUCAGAGUGAACGCUGGCGGCAGGCCUAACACAUGCAAGUCGAACGGCAGCACAGGAGAGCUUGCUCUCUGGGUGGCGAGUGGCGGACGGGUGAGGAAUAUAUCGGAAUCUACCCUUUCGUGGGGGAUAACGUAGGGAAACUUACGCUAAUACCGCAUACGAACUGAGGUUGAAAGCGGCGGACCGCAAGGCGUCGCGCGGAUGGAUGAGCCGAUAUCCGAUUAGCUAGUUGGCGGGGUAAAAGCCCACCAAGGCGACGAUCGGUAGCUGGUCUGAGAGGAUGAUCAGCCACACUGGAACUGAGACACGGUCCAGACUCCUACGGGAGGCAGCAGUGGGGAAUAUUGGACAAUGGGCGCAAGCCUGAUCCAGCCAUGCCGCGUGUGUGAAGAAGGCCUUCGGGUUGUAAAGCACUUUUGUUGGGAAAGAAAAGCGGUCGGUUAAUACCCGGUCGUUCUGACGGUACCCAAAGAAUAAGCACCGGCUAACUUCGUGCCAGCAGCCGCGGUAAUACGAAGGGUGCAAGCGUUACUCGGAAUUACUGGGCGUAAAGCGUGCGUAGGUGGUUUGUUAAGUCAGAUGUGAAAGCCCCGGGCUCAACCUGGGAAUUGCAUUUGAUACUGGCAGACUAGAGUGCGGUAGAGGAGAGUGGAAUUCCCGGUGUAGCAGUGAAAUGCGUAGAGAUCGGGAGGAACAUCAGUUGCGAAGGCGGCUCUCUGGACCAGCACU